RNAcentral lists this ribosomal RNA (406 nucleotides) under uncultured bacterium. Its description in RNAcentral is "partial 16S ribosomal RNA". It matches the Rfam family "Bacterial small subunit ribosomal RNA", at positions 30 to 526 of the family's 1533-position model. The record is from RNAcentral.
AUUGAACGCUGGCGGCAGGCUUAACACAUGCAAGUCGAGCGAGCGGCGGACGGGUGAGUAAUGUCUGGGAAACUGCCUGAUGGAGGGGGAUACCUCCUGGAAACGGUAGCUAAUACCGCAUACCAUCAGAUGUGCCCAGAUGGGAUUAGCUAGUAGGUGGGGUAAUGGUUCACCUAGGGGACGAUCCCUAGCUGGUCUGAGAGGAUGACCAGCAACACUAGAACGAGAACACGGUCCAGACUCCUACGGGAGGAGGCAGGGGGGAAUAUUGCACAAUGGGCGCAAGCCUGAUGCAGCCAUGCCACGUAUGUGAAGAAGGCCUUGGGGGUGUAAAGCACUUUCAGCGAGGAGGCGUUACUCGCAGAAGAAGCACCGGCUAACUCCGUGCCAGCAGCCGCGGUAAUAC